Molecule: long non-coding RNA, 685 nt
Organism: Cydia splendana
Lineage: Eukaryota; Metazoa; Arthropoda; Insecta; Lepidoptera; Tortricidae
Exons: 3
Source: RefSeq, a predicted model, not a curated record
AGCGAAGACGCCUUCAAAAUUUAGGUGCUGUACCUAAGGGAAAUGGAAAACGGAACCGAGAAUAUAGUCCAACGUGCUCAUCUAUUCUAUCUCCGAGGCCUUUGCCUGGUAUAUUCACAUGUGGUGAGGACAAUGAGGAGAAUAUUGACGACGAUUUGCAAUGGCUCGAAAAUUCUUCUGAUCCUUGGUGUUUAGUUGAAGAGAAGUGGGAGAGAACUUUAAAAGUAAGAACGCGGACUUUAUACGACGCUGGUAAAGAGAGUAUUGAAAGUUACUUUGAAAAAUAUCCAGCACUAAAAAAGCCACAAGGAUAUUCUUUGCUACACAAAGACUUCAAUGCUGCGUAUGGAAUUUACAAGGACAAUUUAUUCAUUAAUUUUCCAUUAAUGAAAAUAAAGCUUCAAGAACUUCUGAAAAACAAAAAGUCAACUGAUCCGUUCCUCCACGACCUGGUCGCACUUACCAAUUCGUCCAAUGAGGAAAAUGCGAAUAUAGCCGGAUUUCUCACCAUUCCACUGCUGCUGACACUGCGGCAGUCCGCCAAAAGAAGAAGCGAGGUUCGGGUGCAAGUCAAAGUUGGAAGCCCAGCAAAGUAGAAGUAAGGGAAGGUUUCAUAAAGCAUGUCAAGUCCAGUGCAGAAAUUAGCCAGACAAUCGAACUUCGCAUAACCGCUCUUCAAAAAGUA